RNAcentral lists this ribosomal RNA (607 nucleotides) under Nolina cespitifera. RNAcentral's name for it is "eukaryotic LSU rRNA". The stretch from base 159 to 314 matches the Rfam family "5.8S ribosomal RNA". The record is from RNAcentral. Lineage: Eukaryota; Viridiplantae; Streptophyta; Magnoliopsida; Asparagales; Asparagaceae.
GGGUGCCCCGUGGCCGCCCCCGCCCCGCUUCGCAGCGAGACGGGCGGCGGGAAAAAGACCCGGCGCGAUGGGCGCCAAGGAACAGUGAUGUCGGAGAGCGUCGCGCAUCGGUUCCAUGCGCGCGGCGCGACCCUUCCAUACAUACGUCGACCUUUUACGACUCUCGGCAACGGAUAUCUUGGCUCUCGCAUCGAUGAAGAACGUAGCGAAAUGCGAUACUUGGUGUGAAUUGCAGAAUCCCGUGAACCAUCGAGUCUUUGAACGCAAGUUGCGCCCAAGGCCACCCGGCCGAGGGCACGCCUGCUUGGGCGUCACGCCUCGCGUCGCUCCGCGCGCCCGCCCCCGGCCUGGGGAGGCGGCGUGCGCGGAUGCGGAGACUGGCCCCCCGUGCCUAGCGGCGCGGCGGGCCGAAGUGCGGGCCGCCGGCCGGGACGGACGCGGCGAGUGGUGGACGGACACGUACGGCGCUCAGCGCCGCCUCCGCCCCCGGCCCCAGCGGCCCAUGCAAGGAACCCACGCCGUCGGGCGCGCGCGCCCCUCGGAACACGACCCCAGGUCAGGCGGGACCACCCGCUGAGCUUAAGCAUAUCAAUAAGCGGAGGAGAAG